AUACGGAGGGUGCAAGCGUUAUUCGGAAUCACUGGGCGUAAAGGACGCGUAGGCGGGUUGGCAAGUCAGAUGUGAAUUCCUACAGCUUAACUGUAGAACUGCAUUUGAAACUGCUAACCUAGAGUAUGGGAGGGGGAGAUGGAAUUAGUGGUGUAGGGGUAAAAUCCGUAGAUAUCAAUAGGAAUACCGAAAGCGAAGGCGAUCUCCUGGAACAUAACUGACGCUAAGGCGUGAAAGCGUGGGGAGCAAACAGGAUUAGAUACCCUAGUAGUCC
This 274-nucleotide ribosomal RNA is filed under the name uncultured bacterium. Its description in RNAcentral is "partial 16S ribosomal RNA". It matches the Rfam family "Bacterial small subunit ribosomal RNA", at positions 523 to 796 of the family's 1533-position model. The record is from RNAcentral.